Mesocricetus auratus (golden hamster) is the source of this 368-nucleotide long non-coding RNA. RefSeq lists it as uncharacterized. The record is from RefSeq and is a predicted model, not a curated record. The transcript has 3 exons. NCBI's taxonomy places the organism in Eukaryota, Metazoa, Chordata, Mammalia, Rodentia, Cricetidae.
CAGUAGCAGCAUCUGUCCCCUAAGUCACGUCUGCUGCCCGACCUCGCCUCCUGCGGUGCCAUUGCCAUGACCUUGGAUGCCUAUGGGGGUCAGAAGAGGAGCCUUGGAUCCCUGAAUCUGGAGUGGCAGCAUUCCUUUGCCGACUUUAGACCAACUUCUUCAGACUUCCUAUGUAGACGGAAGACCAGCAGCUCUCCAGAAUCCCUCGGGCCUUCUGCACCAUGCUGGGACUGCUGAGCCAUCCAGCCUCGUGGACUGAAACACUCUAGGAUUCGCAGCCUCUCCAGAGUGAGGCAGCCACUGUUGGACUAUCUGGACCAUAUGGUGCAUGUCAAUCUAAUAAAUCAUUCCAUAAGUUUUGCUCCUUU